AUUGAACGCUGGCGGCACGCCUAACACAUGCAAGUCGAGCGGCAGCGAGACCAGUAGCAAUACUAGUUGUCGGCGAGCGGCGGACGGGUGAGGAAACUGUAGGAAUCUGCCCUCUAGCGGGGACAACUAAGGGAAACUUUAGCUAAUACCGCAUAAUCUCGAGAGAGUAAAGUUGCCCGCAAGGGUGACACUAGAGGAGGAGCCUGCAUCCGAUUAGCUAGUUGGUGAGGUAAUGGCUCACCAAAGCGAUGAUCGGUAACUGGUCUGAGAGGACGACCAGUCACACUGGGACUGAGACACGGCCCAGACUCCUACGGGAGGCAGCAGUGGGGAAUAUUGGACAAUGGGGGCAACCCUGAUCCAGCGAUGCCGCGUGGGUGAAGAAGGCCUCGGGUUGUAAAGCCCUUUAGGCUGGGAAGAAGUUUGGUGGCUGAAUAAUCCAUCAGAUUGACGGUACCAGCAGAAUAAGCACCGGCAAACUCUGUGCCAGCAGCCGCGGUAAUACAGAGGGUGCGAGCGUUAAUCGGAUUUACUGGGCGUAAAGGGCGCGUAGGCGGUUAUAUUAGUGUGAUGUGAAAGCCCUGGGCUUAACCU
This 594-nucleotide ribosomal RNA is filed under the name uncultured bacterium. RNAcentral's name for it is "bacterial SSU rRNA". It matches the Rfam family "Bacterial small subunit ribosomal RNA", at positions 28 to 615 of the family's 1533-position model. The record is from RNAcentral.